Brassica oleracea var. oleracea is the source of this 1485-nucleotide long non-coding RNA. RefSeq lists it as uncharacterized. The transcript has 3 exons. Lineage: Eukaryota; Viridiplantae; Streptophyta; Magnoliopsida; Brassicales; Brassicaceae. The record is from RefSeq and is a predicted model, not a curated record.
UUUUGUUCAUCUCACGGGAGAGAAUAGUAUUGAGGUGUUACACCUUCCCGACCUUUCACCUCUCUCCUCAUCCACCAUGAAACCCUAACAUUCACUGCCCUUUCAAUUCUCAGAUGUAACUGAUGCCUUCCAUCACCAUGUUUCAUCAAAGCUUUUCAUUACUGUAACAAUCAAAACACAUUCCGUCUCUUCAAUUCCCCUCCUUUCUCCUAUAUAUAUUUCAGAGGCUUCUCCCUCUUGACCCACACCCAAAUGAGAAGCUGAAAAAACCCAGAUGAUUGCAUGGCAAAGAAUUCCCAGAUCCUCCGCAACGGCACAUUCAUCAACGGCUCCGAUUAUUCUCUUUCUCAACGACAUUCUUCCCCUAAUUGGUCUUGAGAUGAUGUUGAUGAGAAGAGGAAGAGAGGAGCUGAUGAUGCUGAUUCAUAGAAAAAACCGAUCUGCUUCUGCUUCUGCUUCUGCGCUCUAAGCUUAUCUCUCAGCUGUUUUGAUAGCUCAAGUCCACAAUUGGAGUUUUGUUUGGAUUUUCAGUGGAGUUUACACAAUUAGUUUCUUUCUCUGAAGGUUGUGGUCACUGUAUCAGAAACAAAUCCUCUAAUCAUAUACCUCAUGAACGUUGAGAAGCUUCUCGAGUCAGAAAGAUUCUACAAUUUGUUCCAGAUUCUAAUGAACAAGAUCUCUGGUCCUGUCUUGAUUCUUGGCUCAAGGGUAUUAGUACCUGAAGAUGAUUUCCAAGAAGUAGAUGAAGAGGUCUCCGCUCUCUUUCCUUACAACAUCGAAAUCAGACCACAUGAGGAUGAAUCCCAGCUUUCGAGCUGGAAGAAUCGCUUAGAAGAUGACAUGAAGAUGGUUCAGUUUCAAGACAACAAGAACCAAAGUAUCCCUCGUGAACCUCAAUAUCAUUGCAUCUUUGCAGGGAUAUAAGCGUGUGCGUUAGCAUGUUUGACGCCUUAGCUCUUGCAUGCCAUAACAAAUACGAAAGCUACAGGUCUGAGCCAAAAAUUGUGGUGGCCACCAGCAUAAAUCCGACACUAUUGAUCGCAUCAAGAAACGUGUUCAGGAGAGAGAAUGCAUCACUCAUGUUCAACAAAGGUCGUUGGAGUUGUUUCCGGUUAACUCUUACUGCAAAACAUCUUUUCAUAUCUUGGUGACUUAGAAAAUUGCAUCUCCUUCCUAAUGUGUUUUUUUUUUGUGUUUGUGCCAUCAAUUAGUUGAUUAUACUCUGUUUGCAAGCUUAUAAUCUAUGCAGUUACAUGUAACAUUGAUUCUUAGAGUUUUUUUUUUUUUUUGCAGGCUCAACUACGCCCGUAAAAAGCUAGCUGAUGACAAGACGACAAAAGACUACAACAUAGAGGGAGGCUCUGUUCUGCAUCUUGUUCUUGCUCUUAGUGGUGGUGUUGAUGUUCUGUGGGUAGUAACUCAUUCUCUUAUCUAUGUCUAGGGAUUCUUUUCUUUCUAUGAUUAAAAAGUGAUGCGAUUUGGAUU